Molecule: long non-coding RNA, 1277 nt
Organism: Antechinus flavipes (yellow-footed antechinus)
Lineage: Eukaryota; Metazoa; Chordata; Mammalia; Dasyuromorphia; Dasyuridae
Exons: 3
Source: RefSeq, a predicted model, not a curated record
UCUCCAAAGGGGCUUGUCAUAUGCCAAGUGGUGCUUGGGAGAGCAGCUGGAACCCCAAUCAGGGUGAGAAAGCUAGAGAAGAGAUCCCAGGCAGCAAGAUACUCAAGAUGAUAAACUUCUACAGAUGGUCUCUGUCCGUGGUGGUGUGUUUGCUGCUGCUGUUGGCAGGCUGGGGGGGGCCUGUGCAAAAAUGAAGAUUCCAGACUAUCCGGGGGAAGAUGCUAGCAUCGAGCAGAUGGAAGACUUCCUGUUGAUAUUGGGCCAGGAGUUGGAGGCUAUCGGCAUGUCCCUGUGAGUGGGGCACCAGGGCAGGCCGGCAGCCCUUGGUUUGUGUGUUUGUGAAAGUAAAGUGUGCCGAUGAGGGGAGAAGGAGAAGAGAAGGAAGAAAGGGUCUGUGUGCAGGGUUGUUUGGGAAUGCUGAACACUCAGUAAUGGAAACCAACGUGGUCAAGGCAGACAAUGCCCACUCUACUUCUCUCUGGCAAUUACCGGAAAAGGAGACGCUAAGAGAUCUCCCCAGGCAAUGGCUCUGAAUUCUAUCCCCUUCCAGAGGACCAAGACUUUAAAGGCUGGCUGGAACUGGGCCACACCCAUUGAAUUUGGACGAAAUCUAAAUUCCCAAACACCCAAACAUGCCAAUUGUCGUCAAUUGACUCCAGUCAUCCUAGAAGGCCUAGCCAAGCCUAUCCUGUCCAGAGACCCAGAGUUUAAGACUCCAAAGAUCCCUCCAGAAUUGAUGACUCAAGGGCCUCACAGGGGGCUUACCUCUGGGUUGUUGCACAACAUAUUGCUUGACUGAUACCUGUCCUCCACCAAACCAGUUGGGAUUUUUACCACGGAUUUCUUCCUUUGCUUUGCUCCGAGUUUCUCCAUUUCGAGCCCACUUUACCUUGGGGAGUAAGGAGAAGACCUGGACGCUGGCAGGCUGCCUAAAUCAGGGCAGAGCGCCACCCCGCCAGCACCCCAAAGGUUCACUUAUUCACCACAAGUAGUGUAAUCUGGACGAGCCCCCAAAACUGUGUGAUUCAGAUAGCAUUUAAUAAAAAGCUGCAAAGAUCUCUAGAAGCAAAGCAAAGUUUAUUAUAUGUUCUUGAGAGAAUCGGGUGUCCCACCCAUCAAGCAGACAAUGGAAGGGAGGAAGCCCCAUAGGGGGCAGGGUCAACACUUUUAAUCCCUAAUGCAAAUUCCCCCUCCCACCACUGACCCUCAUUCUUAUUGGCUGAGGAUCUUACAUUCUAAACAAGGGAACUACCCAAGAAAUUGAACUUGACCAAUAA